GUAGGUGAACCUGCGGAAGGAUCAUUACCGAUUUUAGCGAACCUGGCCUUUGGUCAUGGUCUCGCGAAAACUUGUAUUUAAAACCACACUCUUAUAAAACGAAAUAUUUUGUAUAUAUAAUAAAAUAAGAUCACUUUCAACAACGGAUCUCUUGGUUCUC
This 160-nucleotide unclassified non-coding RNA is filed under the name rhizosphere metagenome. RNAcentral describes it as "partial ribosomal RNA internal transcribed spacer region". The record is from RNAcentral.